AGUGAACGCUGGCGGUAGGCCUAACACAUGCAAGUCGAACGGCAGCACAGUAAGAGCUUGCUCUUACGGGUGGCGAGUGGCGGACGGGUGAGGAAUACAUCGGCAUCUACUUUUUCGUGGGGGAUAACGUAGGGAAACUUACGCUAAUACCGCAUACGACCUACGGGUGAAAGCAGGGGAUCUUCGGACCUUGCGCGAUUGAAUGAGCCGAUGUCGGAUUAGGUAGUUGGCGGGGUAAAGGCCCACCAAGGCGACGAUCCGUAGCUGGUCUGAGAGGAUGAUCAGCCACACUGGAACUGAGACACGGUCCAGACUCCUACGGGAGGCAGCAGUGGGGAAUAUUGGACAAUGGGCGCAAGCCUGAUCCAGCCAUACCGCGUGGGUGAAGAAGGCCUUCGGGUUGUAAAGCCCUUUUGUUGGGAAAGAAAAGCAGCAGGUUAAUACCCCGCUGUUCUGACGGUACCCAAAGAAUAAGCACCGGCUAACUUCGUG
RNAcentral lists this ribosomal RNA (492 nucleotides) under uncultured bacterium. RNAcentral describes it as "partial 16S ribosomal RNA". It matches the Rfam family "Bacterial small subunit ribosomal RNA", at positions 29 to 507 of the family's 1533-position model. The record is from RNAcentral.